Small nucleolar RNA from Vigna angularis (adzuki bean), 107 nucleotides. It matches the Rfam family "Plant small nucleolar RNA R71". From Rfam's summary of the family: R71 is a member of the C/D box family of snoRNAs containing the C (UGAUGA) and D (CUGA) box motifs. The record is from Rfam. Lineage: Eukaryota; Viridiplantae; Streptophyta; Magnoliopsida; Fabales; Fabaceae.
AUCUAAUGGUGUGGGCAGCUUGCACAUAGCUUUUUAAAUCUCUCCUAGUAUUCAUACAAGCUUUCCUCACCUAGUUGCCUAAUCCCAGAAAUGUCCUUUCUUAUGGC